GCAUUAGAAGCUCAACGCCAGAGCGCCGGUCUUGUAAGUCGGAGGCUGGGGGUUAAAAUCCCCCCUUUUGCU
Molecule: transfer RNA, 72 nt
Filed under: Hypomesus nipponensis (Japanese smelt)
Lineage: Eukaryota; Metazoa; Chordata; Actinopteri; Osmeriformes; Osmeridae
Also listed under: 1 other name
Description: tRNA-Thr
Rfam family: tRNA
About the family: Transfer RNA (tRNA) molecules are approximately 80 nucleotides in length. Their secondary structure includes four short double-helical elements and three loops (D, anti-codon, and T loops).
Source: RNAcentral